RNAcentral lists this ribosomal RNA (271 nucleotides) under uncultured bacterium. RNAcentral describes it as "partial 16S ribosomal RNA". It matches the Rfam family "Bacterial small subunit ribosomal RNA", at positions 82 to 354 of the family's 1533-position model. The record is from RNAcentral.
CCUUUGCCGGCGACCGGCGCACGGGUGAGUAACACGUAUGCAACCUGCCCUCUUCAGGGGGACAACCUUCCGAAAGGGAGGCUAAUCCCGCGUAUAUCGGUUUCGGGCAUCCGAGAUCGAGGAAAGAUUCAUCGGAAGAGGAUGGGCACGCGGCGCAUUAGCUAGACGGCGGGGUAACGGCCCACCGUGGCGACGAUGCGUAGGGGUUCUGAGAGGAAGGUCCCCCACACUGGUACUGAGACACGGACCAGACUCCUACGGAAGGCAGCAG